RNA transcript from Nasonia vitripennis (jewel wasp), 1813 nucleotides. RefSeq lists it as uncharacterized. NCBI's taxonomy places the organism in Eukaryota, Metazoa, Arthropoda, Insecta, Hymenoptera, Pteromalidae. The transcript has 4 exons. The record is from RefSeq and is a predicted model, not a curated record.
UUUUUUUGCUGUAAAUCCAAAUUUAAAGGUGCUAAAUUAGAAACCGCGGCGCAAACGGCAACGCGGACAGCAUCCGGCAGAUUUCUGAGGAUGCCUGCAUCGCUGCAGUGCUGCCAAUGCACUUGUCACUUUUUUCAUGAGUAGACCGCGUGAAGGUAUCAUGUAGCCGCUUUUUGAGUCUUCACUCGCUUUCGCCCUCUUGGACACCUCGGUUUCUUUGUUUCAGUUCAGUCUUGUCAGAUCUCGUGCUACUCUUGUCUGUUCAGGCGUGCGGCAACGGUGGCAGCGAGAGAAUAGUACUUAUCGUUUAUUCCAUUGUUAUCAGAAACUACGAAGUUUGUGAGAUCAAUGACGAUCGUUGAGGUGGUCGAAGCUAUGUUUUUCUGUCAAGAUUUGAGAACAUUUUUUACGUCGUUUUUAUCGAAGGUUAGAAAUUAUGCAUGAUAGUUGUUGGCUUCGUUUUUCCUGGACGACUUUCGGCCCUGCACAUCGAAAGCUUACUUGCUUCUGCAACGCAGUGAAUACGUUAAGAGAUCUGUCGAGAGAGCUUCGAAUUUCCAAAGUGCAUUGACAGAAUAGCAAAAUGACAGUACUUUGUCCUCAUUAUGAUUCUGUGAUUGGAUGGUAUGUAACAGUUGUUGGUCCUGAUGGCCCUAAGAAGAGGAUAAUUGUGUCCCCGUUGCACUACUAUAAGGAAAUGGGAGUUGUUCCACCUGUUGGUGCUAUUUUCACUGAUGCCGAUUAUAUAGGCUUGGAAGAUGAUUCAUUUGAUGAAGAGUCAGACAUUCUGGAUCCUUAUUCCAUCAAGUGAUCUUUACGCGUUACCAUCAGUAAUGAAAGUUGGUCCUAAGCCUUCUGUAGCAUCAAUCAUACCUGAAGCUGGAUUUUCCAAGAUUUCCACAGAUAUGACUGACGAUCUAUUUAUGCCAGAAGUAUCUGAUUGCCCUCCACAGUAUGUACCAAUUAUACCAGAAAUUGGAGUUUCAAAAUCGUCACUAAAAGCGACAAAUUGUCCUCCACAAUAUGCACCACUAUUACCAGAAGUUGGAGUUUCAAAGUCUUCACUGAAAGCGACACAAUUUCCUUUACAGUAUACACCAAUUAUACCAGCAGUAGGACUUCCAAAGUCCUUACUGAAUUUUGCAAAUGGCCCUUCACAACAUGCAGGACUUACACCAGAAUUUAUACUGACAAAUGUUUCUGAAACCGAUGAGCCAACAUCCAUGUACUCACCAGAAUUUUCAUCCUUCUUGUAUAAUCAUCAAACGACAACAAGUUCUAUUGAACCACAACCAUCAACUUCUAAUGCGGUACAUGAUAUAUAUUCUCCAAGUUAUUCAUCACUUGAUAAAAGUUUGAUGUCAUUGUCAUACGACAAUUACAAUGAAGAUGAUGACUAUAGCAUGAAAAGAGCUUAAGAUGAUUCAUAAGGUGAACCUCAUAAUAUGUAAAUAAUAACAGUUAGAGUUUAAAUAACUUAACUAAAGCUGUUUUUUGAAACUCGUCACAAAAAUUAUUAUCAAGACAUAUCAUGAUCAUGAACCUCGCAUGUUAACUGGUGUUCAAAACAUAGGAGCAGGACCUCGGCUAGAGGUUGCCGAGGUGUUUUGCUUCAAUGAGCAAGGAAAACAGGACUUUAAUUAAUCUGAAGUGUAAUUGAUGUUAAUUAUUUAAGUUGUUCUGCGAUAUUUGAAAGUAAUUUAAGAGUUUAAAUGCUAUCAUGAAGUUUUGAAUAAGGACUAUUUGAUUGUCAUAGAAAUUUUGUAGCAUUUAUUUUUCAAAGUUAUCGUCAGAUCACAAACAAACUGUCUUU